UUCCGGUUGAUCCUGCCGGAGGCCACUGCUAUCGGGGUCCGACUAAGCCAUGCGAGUCAAGGGGCUCCCCUUUUGGGGAGCACCGGCGAACGGCUCAGUAACACGUGGCUAACCUACCCUCGGGUGGGGGAUAACCUCGGGAAACUGAGGCUAAUCCCCCAUAGGGGAGGAGGUCUGGAAUGAUCCCUCCCCGAAAGCCCGUAAGGGCGCCCGAGGAUGGGGCUGCGGCGGAUUAGGUAGUUGGUGGGGUAACGGCCCACCAAGCCUACGAUCCGUACGGGCCCUGAGAGGGGGAGCCCGGAGAUGGACACUGAGACACGGGUCCAGGCCCUACGGGGCGUAGCAGGCGCGAAACCUCCGCAAUGCGCGAAAGCGCGACGGGGGGACCCCGAGUGCCCUCCC
This 402-nucleotide ribosomal RNA is filed under the name uncultured prokaryote. Its description in RNAcentral is "bacterial SSU rRNA". It matches the Rfam family "Archaeal small subunit ribosomal RNA", at positions 1 to 394 of the family's 1478-position model. The record is from RNAcentral.